RNAcentral lists this unclassified non-coding RNA (247 nucleotides) under Hevea brasiliensis (rubber tree). The record is from RNAcentral. Lineage: Eukaryota; Viridiplantae; Streptophyta; Magnoliopsida; Malpighiales; Euphorbiaceae.
AGGAAACAGUUUUAAAUUCAUCAAAAGCAGCAAAAGAGACGAAAGAUGCCGAAGCUCAAAUUCCACCCAAAAACAAAAGCAAACACAGACGUAGAAACAUCUGUCUUGGUGUGACGGCGGCUGUCAUCGUCGNNNNNNNNNNUGAUCUUGGCAUUAACGGUGUUCAAAGCCAAAGAACCCUCUACCACCAUCGACUCAAUCGCUCUAGAUAACCUGCGUGUGUCCUUGGACUUGGCCAGGUUGGGCG